This 301-nucleotide ribosomal RNA is filed under the name uncultured bacterium. RNAcentral's name for it is "partial 16S ribosomal RNA". It matches the Rfam family "Bacterial small subunit ribosomal RNA", at positions 509 to 807 of the family's 1533-position model. The record is from RNAcentral.
CAGCAGCCGCGGUAAUGCGAAGGGGGCUAGCGUUGUCCGGAAUUAUUGGGCGUAAAGGGCUCGCAGGCGGUUUCUUAAGUCUGAUGUGAAAGCCCCCGGCUCAACCGGGGAGGGUCAUUGGAAACUGGGAAACUUGAGUGCAGAAGAGGAGAGUGGAAUUCCACGUGUAGCGGUGAAAUGCGUAGAGAUGUGGAGGAACACCAGUGGCGAAGGCGACUCUCUGGUCUGUAACUGACGCUGAGGAGCGAAAGCGUGGGGAGCGAACAGGAUUAGAUACCCCAGUAGUCCCUGUCUCUUAUAC